CUGGAGUCCAAAGUCCUCUUUUAUCCGCACGUAGCAAUUACUGCAUACCUGGCAGCAGCAGUGCAAGCUUCCCCACUCCCUGCCUGUUACCACUUCCCAGUCCCACCCAGCUGAUGUAUCUCAUCCUGGACCUUGAGGACCCCACCUCUACGUGAUGAGAGAGUAUUUUAGUCGUCUUGCCAAUUUGUUCCUUUA
Molecule: unclassified non-coding RNA, 195 nt
Organism: Gopherus agassizii (Agassiz's desert tortoise)
Lineage: Eukaryota; Metazoa; Chordata; Testudines; Testudinidae
Source: Ensembl